Molecule: transfer RNA, 76 nt
Filed under: Thermoproteota archaeon
Lineage: Archaea; Thermoproteati; Thermoproteota
Also listed under: 2 other names
Description: tRNA-Cys
Rfam family: tRNA
About the family: Transfer RNA (tRNA) molecules are approximately 80 nucleotides in length. Their secondary structure includes four short double-helical elements and three loops (D, anti-codon, and T loops). Further hydrogen bonds mediate the characteristic L-shaped molecular structure. tRNAs have two regions of fundamental functional importance: the anti-codon, which is responsible for specific mRNA codon recognition, and the 3' end, to which the tRNAs corresponding amino acid is attached (by aminoacyl-tRNA synthetases). tRNAs cope with the degeneracy of the genetic code in two manners: having more than one tRNA (with a specific anti-codon) for a particular amino acid; and 'wobble' base-pairing, i.e. permitting non-standard base-pairing at the 3rd anti-codon position.
Source: RNAcentral
GCCGGGGUGGCCGAGCGGCAUAGGCGGCGGGCUGCAGACCCGUUCCACCAGGGUUCGAAUCCCUGCCCCGGCUCCA